Molecule: long non-coding RNA, 1224 nt
Organism: Gasterosteus aculeatus aculeatus (three-spined stickleback)
Lineage: Eukaryota; Metazoa; Chordata; Actinopteri; Perciformes; Gasterosteidae
Source: Ensembl
CUCCUCUGUGCAAGGCAGGACCUGACGUGGAGGACAAGGAGGCCCUCUGGGCACUACUGUAAAAAGGAGACUCCGUAUGUAGAUAGUUCUUAAUCUGCAAUUGUCUUGUUGUGUUGUGUUGACAUACUUUUCUUUACUGUUUUCUUAAAUUUAACAUUUAACAUAAUGCAAUAUAGCCAGGACAGCCUUACAGAGUCGCGACGCUUUGUGUUGCGUUGCUUCGCAUCGCGUCAAGGUCUGUAUGAUCACAAAAUUCAGAGUUUACCCACCUCUAAUUUUACCACUACAGCACUGAACAUAAUGCAAUAUAGCCAGGACAGCCUUACAGAGUCGCGGCGCUUUGUGUUGCGUUGCUUCGCAUCGCGUCAAGGUCUGUAUGAUCACAAAAUUCAGAGUUUACCCACCUCUAAUUUUACCACUACAGCACUGCUGUAGUGUGGGUGACUGUUCCUGUGCCAGAUAAGCCCAGUCAUCCAUCAUAAGGAAUAUACCCAGUUUGUAUUCUGUUGAUUUUUAAUCUAUUUUAUUAUAUGGUAAAUGUCAUCUUGUCAUCUUACUUUCUGUCAUCUUUCACCCAUUCAUAAACUAAUAACAGGAGCUUCCAUGCACAGCGCCCUCUGUCCAUCAGUAACAUUCACACCAUUUACACACCGUAGUCACAGCUAUUGGAGCAGUGUUUGGGUUAAGUGUCUUUCUCAAGGACUCUUCGACAUGUGUGGUGAACGGAAAUGCUGUAUGUGUUCAUUUGUACAUAGAUUUGGGCAAGUGCAAUCCGAUCAGAAGUGGUCAUGUGUAAACUGAUGUAGCCUACUUGGAGCUGUCCACCUGUGAUCUGAUUACCAAAGUAAAGGCCAGAGGUGAACAGGGCUUAAGGCUCUUUUCAACAAGUGAAGGCCAACAGUUUUAUUUUCUACCAAAUUUUGGAAAUGAAGGAUGCUUUAUCCUGAGGAUUGUCUCCAAAUUGGUACAAAUCUGUCCAAAACUAGGUAUGUAUUCUAUGUAGACUUUAGACUCUUUGAUUCAAUGUAAACAAAGAAACAUGUAAUGCAAAUGUUGUCUGUUGAAUAUGUAAAAGAUAUAUGUAUAGGAUAUGUUUCCUUAUUUGUUAUGUUCUUUAAUAAAACGAGUGGUAGAAGUAUGAACAGAUUGAAGUGGAAAAUAGAUGUAUGUAAGAAAUAAUACUAUAUAACUAAUAAUGCUGCCCUUAAAUAAAAUGUACUGUUG